UGGUCCGUUGAACAUUUGUCA
Molecule: non-coding RNA, 21 nt
Organism: Caenorhabditis elegans
Lineage: Eukaryota; Metazoa; Nematoda; Chromadorea; Rhabditida; Rhabditidae
Source: Ensembl